Molecule: ribosomal RNA, 498 nt
Filed under: uncultured bacterium
Lineage: Bacteria
Description: partial 16S ribosomal RNA
Rfam family: Bacterial small subunit ribosomal RNA
Source: RNAcentral
AUUGAACGCUGGCGGCAUGCCUUACACAUGCAAGUCGAACGGUAACAGGUCUUCGGAUGCUGACGAGUGGCGAACGGGUGAGUAAUACAUCGGAACGUGCCUAGUAGUGGGGGAUAACUACUAGAAAGAGUGGCUAAUACCGCAUGAGAUCUACGGAUGAAAGCAGGGGAUCGCAAGACCUUGUGCUACUAGAGCGGCCGAUGGCAGAUUAGGUAGUUGGUGGGAUAAAAGCUUACCAAGCCGACGAUCUGUAGCUGGUCUGAGAGGACGAUCAGCCACACUGGGACUGAGACACGGCCCAGACUCCUACGGGAGGCAGCAGUGGGGAAUUGUGGACAAUGGGCGAAAGCCUGGUCCAGCAAUGCCGCGUGCAGGAUGAAGGCCUUCGGGUUGUAAACUGCUUUUGUACGGAACGAAAAGCCCCGGGUUAAUACCCUGGGGUCAUGACGGUACCGUAAGAAUAAGCACCGGCUAACUACGUGCCAGCCGCCGCCGUAA